RNAcentral lists this ribosomal RNA (404 nucleotides) under uncultured bacterium. RNAcentral describes it as "bacterial SSU rRNA". It matches the Rfam family "Bacterial small subunit ribosomal RNA", at positions 355 to 776 of the family's 1533-position model. The record is from RNAcentral.
UGGGGAAUCUUGCACAAUGGAGGAAACUCUGAUGCAGCGAAGCCGCGUGAGUGAAGAAGGCCCUUGGGUUGUAAAACUCUUUCGUCGGGGAAGAAAAUGACUGUACCCGAAUAAGAAGGUCCGGCUAACUUCGUGCCAGCAGCCGCGGUAAUACGAAGGGACCUAGCGUAGUUCGGAAUUACUGGGCUUAAAGAGUUCGUAGGUGGUUGAAAAAGUUGGUGGUGAAAUCCCAGAGCUUAACUCUGGAACUGCCAUCAAAACUUUUCAGCUAGAGUAUGAUAGAGGAAAGCAGAAUUUCUAGUGUAGAGGUGAAAUUCGUAGAUAUUAGAAAGAAUACCAAUUGCGAAGGCAGCUUUCUGGAUCAUUACUGACACUGAGGAACGAAAGCAUGGGUAGCGAAGAGG